ACGCACGCUGGCGGCGUGCUUAACACCUGCCAGUCGAACGGAAAGGCCCUGCUUUUGUGGGGUGCUCGAGUGGCGAACGGGUGAGUAACACGUGAGUAACCUGCCCUUGACUUUGGGAUAACUUCAGGAAACUGGGGCUAAUACCGGAUAGGAGCUCCUGCUGCAUGGUGGGGGUUGGAAAGUUUCGGCGGUUGGGGAUGGACUCGCGGCUUAUCAGCUUGUUGGUGGGGUAGUGGCUUACCAAGGCUUUGACGGGUAGCCGGCCUGAGAGGGUGACCGGCCACAUUGGGACUGAGAUACGGCCCAGACUCCUACGGGAGGCAGCAGUGGGGAAUAUUGCACAAUGGGCGGAAGCCUGAUGCAGCAACGCCGCGUGCGGGAUGACGGCCUUCGGGUUGUAAACCGCUUUCGCCUGUGACGAAGCGUGGGUGACGGUAAUGGGUAAAGAAGCACCGGCUAACUACGUG
RNAcentral lists this ribosomal RNA (467 nucleotides) under uncultured bacterium. Its description in RNAcentral is "partial 16S ribosomal RNA". It matches the Rfam family "Bacterial small subunit ribosomal RNA", at positions 29 to 507 of the family's 1533-position model. The record is from RNAcentral.